Molecule: ribosomal RNA, 431 nt
Filed under: uncultured bacterium
Lineage: Bacteria
Description: partial 16S ribosomal RNA
Rfam family: Bacterial small subunit ribosomal RNA
Source: RNAcentral
AACGAACGCUGGCGGCAGGCCUAACACAUGCAAGUCGAGCGCCCCGCCCGGGGAGCGGCGGACGGGUGAGUAACGCGUGGGGAUAUGCCCUUUGCUACGGAAUAGUCUCGGGAAACUGGGGGUAAUACCGUAUACGCCCUUUGGGGGAAAGAUUUAUCGGCGAAGGAUUAGCCCGCGUUGGAUUAGGUAGUUGGUGGGGUAAUGGCCCACCAAGCCGACGAUCCAUAGCUGGGUUGAGAGGAGGAUCAGCCACACUGGGACUGAGACACGGCCCAGACUCCUACGGGAGGCAGCAGUGUGUAAUCUUAUACAAGGGAGGCAACCGUGAUCUAGCCAUGCCGGGGGAGUGAUGAAGGCCGUAGGGUUGUAAAGCUCUUUCAGCUGGGAAGAUAAUGACGGUACCAGCAGAAGAAGCCCCGGCUAACUCCGUG